AUGGAGCCAACCAGAUCACCACUAGUUUUGCUCGUGGCGCAAGCCGUACUCGCUGCGGCGAUGCUGCAACAACCAUCAGAAGGGAGGGUGCAGGCAGUGGCGCCAUCAGCGCCACAUCUCGCCGGAGGCAAAGAAGCUGAAGUAGCAGCCGCUACCUCCUCGCCGGCUUCACCAUUCACCGGCGACACGCCAUUAGUUUUGCUCGUGGCGUACGCCGUACUCGCGGAGGCGAUGCUGCAACCAUCAGAGACGAGGGUACAGGCGGCUACCUCCUCGCCUUCUUCACAGUUCACCGGUGACCCGCCACGGCCCUCCCUCCCGGGCUUGCCGCCUCUACCUGGCUUGCCCGCGUUACCGCCGUCGCCGGGCUUCCCGGGCAUGGCAGGCGCGCAGUCGUCUCCUUCGCCUUCGCAGCAGCCGGCCAAAACAUGCUUGGAGCCGCUGAUACUUGCGGAACCGUGCGUCAGUUACCUGACGAACUCCAGCGUGCCGGCGCCGCCGAGAACGUGCUGCGACGGCUUCAGGUCGCUCGUCGGCGGCGGCGACAGGAUUUGCCUGUGCCACGCCAUCAUGGGCGACCUGGGUACAUUUGCAGGCGGGACGAUAGACCAGCACGUCGCCGGAGCUUCUUCUGAUGUGCAUCGGCAAGUCUGA
This 654-nucleotide ribosomal RNA is filed under the name Triticum aestivum (bread wheat). RNAcentral describes it as "partial small subunit ribosomal RNA". Lineage: Eukaryota; Viridiplantae; Streptophyta; Magnoliopsida; Poales; Poaceae. The record is from RNAcentral.